AGUGAACGCUGGCGGUAGGCCUAACACAUGCAAGUCGAACGGCAGCACAGUAAGAGCUUGCUCUUACGGGUGGCGAGUGGCGGACGGGUGAGGAGUACAUCGGAAUCUACUUUUUCGUGGGGGAUAACGUAGGGAAACUUACGCUAAUACCGCAUACGACCUACGGGUGAAAGCAGGGGAUCUUCGGACCUUGCGCGAUUGAAUGAGCCGAUGUCGGAUUAGCUAGUUGGCGGGGUAAAGGCCCACCAAGGCGACGAUCCGUAGCUGGUCUGAGAGGAUGAUCAGCCACACUGGAACUGAGACACGGUCCAGACUCCUACGGGAGGCAGCAGUGGGGAAUAUUGGACAAUGGGCACAAGCCUGACCCAGCCAUACCGCGUGGGUGAAGAAGGCCUUCGGGUUGUAAAGCCCUUUUGUUGGGAAAGAAAAGCAGCAGGUUAAUACCCCGCUGUUCUGACGGUACCCAAAGAAUAAGCACCGGCUAACUUCGUG
RNAcentral lists this ribosomal RNA (492 nucleotides) under uncultured bacterium. RNAcentral's name for it is "partial 16S ribosomal RNA". It matches the Rfam family "Bacterial small subunit ribosomal RNA", at positions 29 to 507 of the family's 1533-position model. The record is from RNAcentral.